GAGUCAGUCAGCGUCUGCCAGAGGUGAGUAGAACUAAACUUAAUCUUUUAUGUACGAAAUCGAAUGCCUAAAGCAUGUUCAUGCAUCAUGAUUACAUGUAAUAGGAUUGAUUGCACUAGUUUCACGAAUAUGGCGCAUUGCAUUAUUUGAUGUUGAUUCAGGAGGUUUGGACCAAGGCGACUUCAAUAGCCCAUAUCUGUCAUUGAGUCUUGGGUGAGUCCUUCAAGAGCCGGACAAGUACACGUAGGAAAGUCCUUGUGAGCUCUCUGUGGACUAGGCACCCUGCCAUGUAUGUGAAAGUCCUGUGUGAGCUCCUUUGGGGGAGCCGGGCACCGACAGAGG
This 342-nucleotide long non-coding RNA is filed under the name Manihot esculenta (cassava). Its description in RNAcentral is "long non-coding RNA (MESC_LNC007768)". Lineage: Eukaryota; Viridiplantae; Streptophyta; Magnoliopsida; Malpighiales; Euphorbiaceae. The record is from RNAcentral.